Molecule: small nucleolar RNA, 115 nt
Organism: Juglans microcarpa x Juglans regia
Lineage: Eukaryota; Viridiplantae; Streptophyta; Magnoliopsida; Fagales; Juglandaceae
Product: small nucleolar RNA Z278
Exons: 1
Source: RefSeq, a predicted model, not a curated record
UUCAAUGAUGACUGUCCACAUACAUGAGAUUAGUUAGCUUCAAGCCCCUGUUUACAGGGAGAACCUACUUGAGGCUGCUAUAUCAUUACUUGAAAUUACUGGACCAUUCUGAGAA